This 441-nucleotide long non-coding RNA is filed under the name Equus caballus (horse). RNAcentral describes it as "lncRNA (ENSECAG00000044915.1)". The record is from RNAcentral. Lineage: Eukaryota; Metazoa; Chordata; Mammalia; Perissodactyla; Equidae.
GAAGAACUUCUUGCCCAAACAGACGCGUGCUGGGGAAGUGGAGAAGACAGAGCUCUAAAUCAGGCAGUGAGUUUUCAGAGCAUCCUUCCUCAUAUCCUUAGGACCUAUCAGAGUGUCUGGCACAUAAUGGGAAGCAGUUUGAUGGAGUUUAUUGGAUGAAGCAGCUGCCAUCUGAGCAGUCACGCCACAUGAGUGACACUAAUGAGACAGAAAGGUCACAGGGGCUUCAGGAUGGACAGUGGAUCGGAUGGGCUGAACAUGAAGGCAAUGGACCAAUCAGAAACCUGUCGAAAUGACUCAGCUGUGGCUGGGACUCAGACGACUUGAACGAGUAACAUCAAGCCUCAAUUUCCCUGUCUAUAAAAUGGGUAUAGUCAGAAGUGCCCCCGAUUUACCUGUUUGUGAUGCUGCAUAGAUGACUAAACUAUGCCUAUAAAAUGC